Molecule: long non-coding RNA, 736 nt
Filed under: Physcomitrium patens
Lineage: Eukaryota; Viridiplantae; Streptophyta; Bryopsida; Funariales; Funariaceae
Description: long non-coding RNA (PPAT_LNC014577)
Source: RNAcentral
GAUUAAGAUUUGGUUAGGGAUUAAGAUUUGGUUAGGGAUUAAGAUUUGGUUAGGGAUUAAGGUUUGGUUAGGAUUUGAUUUAGGGUUUAGGAUUUGGUUUAGGAUUUAGGAUUCGGAUUGGGGUUUGGUUUAGGAUUUAGGAUUUGGAUAGGGUUUGGUUUAGGGUUUAGGAUUUGGAUUAGGACUUGAUUAAGGAUUAAGGUUUGAUUAGGAUUUGAUUUAAGAUUUAGGAUUUGUUUAGGGUUUGAUUAAGGUUGGAUUAGGAUUAGGAUUUGGUUAGAAUUUAAGGUUCUAUUAGAUUUUUGUUAGGGUUUGACUAAGUUUUCUUUAAUAUUCUUUUAUAUUUCUUUAGGAUUUCCUUGUGUUUCUUUUAUAACUUUAAUAAAAUUUAAUUGAACUUGCUUAAUGUUUGAUUAUGAUUAUUAACGUUUAAUUAUAAAUUCUCUAUAAUCCUAUUGGAUUGUUAGGACCUUUUGUUGCAAUUUUCUUUUACCUUCCACAGCCAAGUGCUCGGUGCAUUCUCAAGCAAGACUUCACGUAAUACAAUAGCGUAUAUCUUAAAAAUGCUCUAUUGAAGUGCAUUUUGUAAACACAUUGCAUGGUACGAGCAUUAGAUGUAGAGGGCAGUGGUAAACAAGAAUUAGAGGCAAGCAAAAAGGUGUUAUCAGAGCAGACCCGAAGAAUUGAAGAGCAAGAACGGAUCAUCCAGGCAAAUACAAAAUCCAAGUUGUUAUUG